UCAAUUCCCGCGGCAGCGCGGGGGCCAGAAAACAAGUGUAGACGCAGAGAUUGGCUCCCCACGAGCAGUCCCUAGUUUACGAUAGAAAACACGAUUUCCUUUCGACACGAAAGCGCGUGUGGAGCGUAGCUCGCAGGGCGGCGGUCCCCAGUGACAGGUUAGGGAACGCUGUUUGCGGCUGCCCCGGAACGCUGAGCGCUGGGGCCGUUCUCCCGACCUCUCCCAGCGUCGGACUAGCCGCGGGGAAAGCCACGAAUGGGGGAGACGGGUGAAGGCAGAGGAUGGGCGAGGAAGGAAAGGGCUGAGAAAUGGGAAGAGCCCGUUCUGCCUCGGAAACUACAUAAUGGCAGGGAAGGACCGCCAACAGGACUGAAGCAGUACAAGUUGUACAGUUGUUUGUCUGUUUGACUCGGACAGCAGAAGUUGCACCAGAAGGGGCAAAAUGUCACCCAAGAGGCAGAGAAGAAAAAAAUAGCAAUUGAAUUCCCGAAGGAAUUCUGAGAGAAGCUGACAAGAGACUGCAGAAGACCCUAGAAGGCCUGCAGUAGAAUGGGUGAUUCCAUAGCAAAAACCUUGGAUUUUCGUAGAAGAUUGGACAUCAGAUCAAACCGUGUUCUUCCUUUUGUCGAGGCGCACCUGCGUCGCGUGAUUCAAGGUUGAUGACCAGCACAGAGCAUGGCUGUUUAAAGGUGUCCUUAAGGUGUCAUAGCAGUGGUGGCCCUCUGGAGCUAUGGUUUCCUCUCAGAAGAAUACAGACUUGUAGAUUAGGCCUGUAUUCAGUAUGAUAAGUUUCAGUAGUAGAAGUUAAGUAGUUUAACCUUAUAAAAAUGAGGUAUUUACAUAAAUAUGAAAAAAUAAGGAAAAGAAAUGAACUUGUCAAAAAGAAAACUGCAGACUUUGAGACUUUGUAACUGUAGGUUUAAUGCAUGCCAACUAGUUCUGCAUGACGUGGGAACUAUGUUAAUAAAAAUACUACGCAUUGGUAACUCCUAUUUUUUCCAUAAAAACGUUUAAUGAGAAAAGAUAUACCUGCCUGUUGUAAUUUAUAACAAGCAAAAGAAUAUAAAGUAACUGAAAAAAUA
This is a long non-coding RNA of Suricata suricatta (meerkat), 1082 nucleotides long. RefSeq lists it as uncharacterized. The transcript has 4 exons. Lineage: Eukaryota; Metazoa; Chordata; Mammalia; Carnivora; Herpestidae. The record is from RefSeq and is a predicted model, not a curated record.